This 553-nucleotide ribosomal RNA is filed under the name uncultured Nitrososphaerota archaeon. RNAcentral's name for it is "bacterial SSU rRNA". It matches the Rfam family "Archaeal small subunit ribosomal RNA", at positions 325 to 879 of the family's 1478-position model. The record is from RNAcentral. Lineage: Archaea; Thermoproteati; Nitrososphaerota.
ACGGGGUGCAGCAGGCGCGAAAACUUUGCAAUGUGCGAAAGCACGACAAGGUUAAUCCGAGUGGUUUCUGCUAAAGAAACCUUUUGUCAGUCCUAGAAACACUGAUGAAUAAGGGGUGGGCAAGUUCUGGUGUCAGCCGCCGCGGUAAAACCAGCACCUCAAGUGGUCAGGAGGUUUAUUGGGCCUAAAGCAUCCGUAGCCGGUUGCAUAAGUUUUCGGUUAAAUCUAUGCGCUUAACGUAUAGGCCGCCGAAAAUACUGUGCAGCUAGGGAGUGGGAGAGGUACACGGUACUCAAUAGGAAGGGGUAAAAUUCUUUGAUCUAUUGAUGACCACCUGUGGCGAAGGCGGUGUGCCUGAACACGUUCGACGGUGAGGGAUGAAAGCUGGGGGAGCAAACCGGAUUAGAUACCCGGGUAGUCCCAGCUGUAAACUAUGCAAACUCAGUGAUGCAUUGGCUUGUGGCCAAUGCAGUGCUGCAGGGAAGCCGUUAAGUUUGCCGCCUGGGAAGUACGUACGCAAGUAUGAAACUUAAAGGAAUUGGCGGGGGAGCAC